AAAAAAUUAAAAACAGUCCAACAAUAAGUGGCCCAAAGCAAAACAAAAAACAAAGAACCCUAGCCCUAAACAGCAAGGAGCAGCAUUUGCCAGUAGCCGCCGCAGCUCCCCCCGCCUUCAGCGCCUCCAGCAGCAUCCGGACGCCGCAAGUUUCGGCCUCCACGCAUGCCAAACUCUCCACGCACCUGCAAACACGGAUUCAGAGAGUCCAUUAGCGAAAAUAUAGUGUAAAACAAAUGAGUUUUUAGGCUAUAUAAAGCCAUAUAUUUUGUAACAAAUGGGGGGGGCAAUAAAAAGGAUUCAAUAUCAACAAACAAAUUUUCUUUUCCGAAUACAAAAGGUUUUUUUCAUUUUUUUUCAGCAUUUUGAGUUUUGUUUUUUUUCUUUCCCCUUUUAGCCUCUUUUGUUAUUUUAUUUUUCAUUGAAAAUAAAAAGAAAGGAGGAAGAAAUUUACCUGGUCGCCGGAGUCGACGGGCCGGCGUCUUUUCCGUCGAUGGAGGCCAUGGGCACCAACUGAAUGGCGGCGUUGAAGGGUUGAUAAAACCCUAAAAGAAGUAGACUUUGCUUCAGGGAAAAAGAAAGUCUCCCUAGC
Molecule: long non-coding RNA, 592 nt
Filed under: Gossypium raimondii (Peruvian cotton)
Lineage: Eukaryota; Viridiplantae; Streptophyta; Magnoliopsida; Malvales; Malvaceae
Description: long non-coding RNA (GRAI_LNC002915)
Source: RNAcentral